Molecule: non-coding RNA, 135 nt
Organism: Triticum aestivum (bread wheat)
Lineage: Eukaryota; Viridiplantae; Streptophyta; Magnoliopsida; Poales; Poaceae
Source: Rfam
AACAUACUCCCUCCGUUCCAAAAUACUUGACCCCCACUUGUCUAGAUAUGGAUGUAUCUAUACUUGUUUAAUGUCUAGAUACAUCCAUAUCUAGACAAAUGGGGAUAAAGUAAUUUGUAUCGGAGGGAGUACAUA